AUUGAACGCUGGCGGCAGGCCUAACACAUGCAAGUCGAGCGGAUGAAGGGAGCUUGCUCCUGGAUUCAGCGGCGGACGGGUGAGUAAUGCCUAGGAAUCUGCCUGGUAGUGGGGGAUAACGUCCGGAAACGGGCGCUAAUACCGCAUACGUCCUGAGGGUGAACGUGGGGGAUCUUCGGACCUCACGCUAUCAGAUGAGCCUAGGUCGGAUUAGCUAGUUGGUGGGGUAAAGGCCUACCAAGGCGACGAUCCGUAACUGGUCUGAGAGGAUGAUCAGUCACACUGGAACUGAGACACGGUCCAGACUCCUACGGGAGGCAGCAGUGGGGAAUAUUGGACAAUGGGCGAAAGCCUGAUCCAGCCAUGCCGCGUGUGUGAAGAAGGUCUUCGGAUUGUAAAGCACUUUAAGUUGGGAGGAAGAGCAGUAAGUGAAUACCUUGCUGUUUUGACGUUACCAACAGAAUAAGCACCGGCUAACUUCGUG
RNAcentral lists this ribosomal RNA (484 nucleotides) under uncultured bacterium. RNAcentral's name for it is "partial 16S ribosomal RNA". It matches the Rfam family "Bacterial small subunit ribosomal RNA", at positions 30 to 507 of the family's 1533-position model. The record is from RNAcentral.